AUAUUAUGGCAGCACAUAUUCUAAAAUUGGAAUGAUACACAGAAGAUUAUCACGGCUCAUGUGCAAGGACAACACGCAAAUUCUUAAAGCGUUCGAUAUAUUU
Molecule: small nuclear RNA, 103 nt
Organism: Octopus sinensis (East Asian common octopus)
Lineage: Eukaryota; Metazoa; Mollusca; Cephalopoda; Octopoda; Octopodidae
Source: RefSeq, a predicted model, not a curated record